UUGCUGUGUCUUUUGGUUGUAAUCAAAAAUUGUUGUUGUUCACACGUGCCCGCUAUCUGUCAAAAUGUAAAGUUUUUCCUCAGUAGGCGGAAGAUCAAGCUCCGAGGUAAAUUUUGUUUUCGUUCCGUGCGGCGAGGCCAUACAUUUGAUUCUAUCCGUGGCUUGUUCUUUUGCCAUGAGCAAUGAUUCGCGAGAUUCGGAAAGGUAGUGCUCGAGAUUCGGGGUGAUUUUAAUGCCAUAAGCAACCAGGACUAAACAAUUAAGAAGCGGAAGCUGCCUCGACCAGAAGUUGCAAGGCGGAAAACCAACUCAGUUUAGCCGAUCGAAUGGAAAUCCCUAAAAUAUUAGCCUUCAACGAAACAAGCUUCACCUCUGUGGAAAACCUUAGGAUCUACCUGGAAGCCAGUGACAACAUGGCCGCCCAGCGCGGAAAGGCAACUUAGCAAACUUAUCGGCUGAGUUGUCAGCAACACCAGGUGCGGUUGAGGGCAGCGAAACAGAUUGUUCAAGAGCAGAUUAAAAUAUUUGAGAUCUUCAAUAAAAUUUUAAGAAUGAA
Molecule: long non-coding RNA, 556 nt
Organism: Culex quinquefasciatus (southern house mosquito)
Lineage: Eukaryota; Metazoa; Arthropoda; Insecta; Diptera; Culicidae
Exons: 2
Source: RefSeq, a predicted model, not a curated record